This 1663-nucleotide long non-coding RNA is filed under the name Lytechinus variegatus (green sea urchin). Its description in RNAcentral is "uncharacterized LOC121419983". Lineage: Eukaryota; Metazoa; Echinodermata; Echinoidea; Temnopleuroida; Toxopneustidae. The record is from RNAcentral.
AGCCAGCUUUUGCUUCAGUUGGAAAUUGCCCGCUCAAAUUAACGCUUUCACAAACAAUGCAUCAUUUGGGUCAUCAUUUCGCUGUGUGAUACGAUCAGGGAAGCAAGUCUGAAGUUAUUCUACUGAAAGCCUGUAUCUUUUGCCUGUUUUCAAGAAUCAGUCGAACCAUAUCGAAAAAUUCAAAGAAUGGCAAGAAGAAGCAUACCAAUCAUUUGUGACUAUAGACGAUAGAGGUCAGGAAGAAAGAGAAGAAGCAAUGACGAAAGCAGUAGGCCCAUCCUUGGUAACAACAUGACUUCUUCAGGGAAAGUUUAAUGAUCUCUUUGUGUCACCAGAACUGAGAAUCCCGUACACAUCCAGACGGACACGGAACACAAUCCUCACCAUCACCACAUCACUCGACCUUCUGUCAGAGGACACGAUGUCGAUCUCUUCGUUUUAUAUCUUCUAUUUUCAAUAUCCCACUUGCCUAGUAAGACUCUCAUAUUUAUUCAAAAGAUCUUAUUAGAUAUUCAGGAUGGAGACAACAUUCCAUACACGGCCAUAUUUACAUUUAAAAAAAUCAAACAUGCAGUGAGUUAAGAUAAUUAAGCUUCUUUAUCUAUCUGUGUUAAUUCUUUAUUGCUGAAAUCUAGUAUAAUCAACACUCCAGUGUCCUAAUAACUUUGGUUAAGGUUUGUUCCAUAACAAUAUCAGAAUUAUCUUAAAUUUGUAUAUUAUAAAAUGCUGGUUUUCACAAUUUCAAAUCUAAAUAGUGUUUUCUUAAUCAGAUGCCAAGUAUAUUAUUGGAUGUUCUGGGUAUACAUAUGACUAAGUUUGAAAAAGUUUCUUUUUGUAUAAUCAACAAAUGCAAAUGUUUGUGUUAUGACAUUACAGAGCAAAAUAUUUAGUUCUUUCAUAAUGCAUUAGGAUUUAUUUGGACAGAAACAGUUCGUACAUACCAAAUUCUCUAAUUUGUAUUAUCUACAUAUCACCCUUUUCACAAAGGAAUUUAUCUGACUAUUUGUAUUAUGGAUUUUUUCAUCAUUCUGUCACUCGAGUACAAACCCAAAUUUUUCCCUAUAUACCUUGAAUUUGUAUCAAAAUUAUUGUUUUUAUAUUUUCAUGAGGAUCAUAAUAACAUAUACUGAUACUGCAAUGCACAAAACUCUACAUCGAACAAAAGUAAGCAAAUAUACUUCCAGAAAUAAUGAAGUCAUAUGUAUAUUUUUAUAUUUGAAGUCCUUCAAUUGAAUAUCAACCUACUACCUAUUGCCAUAUUGUUUUCAACAAAAUAUACAUACAUGUAUUCCCUGUAUCGAGAAUGAAAUCUAAUUAAUGAUUAUAAUUACAACUUUGAAAAUUUACUUUGAUUUUUUUUAUGCGAAUUCAUUUUGAUUUACUUUUUUCUGCCAUGACUGUAUUUAGUGUAUAUACAUGUAAAUAUGCAAUAUUUUUAACGCUUUAUAAUGUUUUCAAUAUCAGGCCUCUCGAGUGGGGAUUCCUCUGGAAUGUACAUGCAAACUAUGCUCAGUGUAUUGAUUUUGAAUAUUUAGUAUAUAAUGCUUUAUUCGUUUCUUUCCUCUGUUACUUGUUUUACCGUUUUUUUUAAUCUACGAUUUAUUCUAAAAUAUGUACAUUUUCUAUUACUUUCUUUUGUAAUAUAUUUUGAAAAGAUUUUUUU